ACAAGGAUUCCCCUAGUAGCGGCGAGCGAAGCGGGAAGAGCUCAAAUUUAUAAUCUGGCACCUUCGGUGUCCGAGUUGUAAUCUCUAGAAGUGUUUUCCGCGUUGGACCGCACACAAGUCUGUUGGAAUACAGCGGCAUAGUGGUGAAACCCCCGUAUAUGGUGCGGACGCCCAGCGCUUUGUGAUACACUUUCAAUGAGUCGAGUUGUUUGGGAAUGCAGCUCAAAUUGGGUGGUAAAUUCCAUCUAAAGCUAAAUAUUGGCGAGAGACCGAUAGCGAACAAGUACCGUGAGGGAAAGAUGAAAAGCACUUUGGAAAGAGAGUUAACAGUACGUGAAAUUGUUGGAAGGGAAACGCUUGAAGUCAGACUUGCUUGCCGGAGCUUGCUUCGGUUUGCAGGCCAGCAUCAGUUUUCCGGGGUGGAUAAUAACGGUUUGAAGGUAGCAGUCUCGGCUGUGUUAUAGCUUUCCGUUGGAUACAUCCUGGGGGACUGAGGAACGCAGCGUGCUUUUUGCGAAAGACUCGUCUUUUUCACGCUUAGGAUGCUGGUGGA
This 553-nucleotide ribosomal RNA is filed under the name Rhodotorula glutinis. Its description in RNAcentral is "eukaryotic LSU rRNA". It matches the Rfam family "Eukaryotic large subunit ribosomal RNA", at positions 68 to 633 of the family's 3401-position model. Lineage: Eukaryota; Fungi; Basidiomycota; Microbotryomycetes; Sporidiobolales; Sporidiobolaceae. The record is from RNAcentral.